This 441-nucleotide long non-coding RNA is filed under the name Mytilus galloprovincialis (Mediterranean mussel). The record is from RNAcentral. Lineage: Eukaryota; Metazoa; Mollusca; Bivalvia; Mytilida; Mytilidae.
GGGUCCUACUAAAAUGCGCCCGGGAGCGCCCGGGUGAAGAAAAAGCGCCCGGAGAAGAAAAUAUAGCGCCCGGGGAACAGAAAAAGCGCCCGGGGAAAAUAUAUUUAUAUUUUAUUGGCAUGAGACACCUUUGAUCAGUUAUGAAAAUUGAUUUUUUUAAAUUUUAAUUAGGCAAGUAAUUUGCCAAUUCAGAUAAUAUAUACGUUUGUAAUAAAGCACAAAAACAAGUAUGAAUAUUUCAAUUUUAACAAAAAUAUAUGAAUACUAUUUCGAAAGACUGAUAAUAAUGGAUGACAGUUUAUGCGGAAGAUUUAUAACAUGUAAGACAUCAAAAGACAUGUUUUUUCAAAAACGAUAUGUAGCGUAGUUAAAACAAGGGGAUAAAAAGCAGAAGUUUGGUUUAAAUUUAAGUCUAAGCAUUAAAACCCUGAUAACCAUAGC